AUUCCAGCUCCAAUAGCGUAUAUUAAGGUUGUUGCGGUUAAAAAGCUCGUAGUCGGAUUUUGGCAUCACGCCGAACUGUCUGCCGAUGGGUAUGCACUGGCCGGCGCGUCCUUCCACCCGGAGACCGCGCCUACUCUUAACUGAGCGGGCGCGGGAGACGGGUCUUUUACUUUGAAAAAAUCAGAGUGUUUCAAGCAGGCAGUCGCUCUUGCAUGGAUUAGCAUGGGAUAAUGAAAUAGGACUCUGGUGCUAUUUUGUUGGUUUCGAACACCGGAGUAAUGAUUAACAGGGACAGUCAGGGGCACUCGUAUUCCGCCGAGAGAGGUGAAAUUCUCAGACCAGCGGAAGACGAACCACUGCGAAAGCAUUUGCCAGGGAUGUUUUCAUCA
This 389-nucleotide ribosomal RNA is filed under the name Gephyrocapsa cf. muellerae. RNAcentral's name for it is "partial small subunit ribosomal RNA". It matches the Rfam family "Eukaryotic small subunit ribosomal RNA", at positions 582 to 975 of the family's 1831-position model. Lineage: Eukaryota; Haptophyta; Isochrysidales; Noelaerhabdaceae. The record is from RNAcentral.